Molecule: ribosomal RNA, 257 nt
Filed under: uncultured bacterium
Lineage: Bacteria
Description: partial 16S ribosomal RNA
Rfam family: Bacterial small subunit ribosomal RNA
Source: RNAcentral
GUCCACGCCUAACGAUGUCAACUGGUUGUUGGACGGCUUGCUGUUCAGUAACGAAGCUAACGCGUGAAGUUGACCGCCUGGGGAGUACGGCCGCAAGGUUGAAACUCAAAGGAAUUGACGGGACCCGCACAAGCGGUGGAUGAUGUGGUUUAAUUCGAUGCAACGCGAAACCUUACCUACCUUGACAUGUCUGGAAUCCUGAAGAGAUUUGGGGUGCUCGAAAGAGAGCCAGAACACAGGUGCUGCAUGGCCGUCGU